CUAUGCUCUAUUAUUUCUACAGUUCUAGCUUGCUAUAGAUGUCUACAUCAAUACUUCAACCCUUCGAGUACUUUAGGGAGUGAAAAAUGAACAUGUUACCAUUGUUUAAAGCAAAGGCAAUUGACACUCCACAAAUAAUAGCAGCUAAACAAACCUCUGAGAGUGAUCUAGUAAGCUCCCACUCAUUACGUAAACCUCCUUGCAUCACUAUACAAAUAAAAGCAGUGAAAUAAACCUUUGAAAAAUGAGUGGUUUAGCAAGUUCCCACUCUGCUUAUUACCAAAACAUCCUUGCAUCUGUAAUAAGAGAGAAAGAGAAGAGGUGAGAAUCAAUGAAUAACAAACUAAAGGUGGGACAAAUCAAUAGGCAACCUCUGUAGUCCAAAGUAAUCCCAUGAAGACACCAAUUGUCUAUACGGCAUAUGGCAAUGCACCACAUGUGCCAAUCAAAAUGUGUGCAGUAAUUUUUUAAAAAACAUGAUCAAACACAUCUUGCCAAAUGAACCAAACAUCUCUCCUUUCUUCAGGAGGCCAGAAAAUUGUGUAGGUAGGACUGCAGGACUGGUCACCUGGUUUUACCAAAAGAGAAAAAAAACUUUUCCAUGUACCUAUGAGAUGCAUGUAGAAACAGCAGGACUACAACCUAAAUCCUUUUUUAUGCUGUAGAUCAGUAGAUCAACACAAUAUAAAAUGAAACACGUUUCCGUUUCAACACACAAACCGCAAUCUGUAAUUCCAAGGGAAUCCAAGUUGAACGAACGAAGAAGCAAGCAAAAAUCUGCUUGCAGAACUUGGGAAGACAUAAUCACAUAAACAAGAAACCCUAAGCACAUUGAGUAAUCAGUCAGAAUAAAGAAGUAGGGAACGGAGCAGGCACAGGCAGAGCGUACAUGGGUAGGGAAACAGGCGCAGGGAAGCCGACACGGCAAAAACAGGGACAUCUUCAGGCAUAGCAAAGGUACUUUUACUGCCAUAUGUUUCUGUUGGACAUUCUUCAGCUCUUUCGUUAGCACUACACAAAUAAUUUGUAUGAGGCGUAAUCUUACUAACCUGGAGCCAAACUGGUAAAAAAAUGAGGACUGCAAUUAGUAGGCCAUCUAAGCUCAAAAAGAUUUUGUAUUAGCAUCCCAAACUGCAUAAAUAGAGACGUGCCUUAGUUAGGAUGGUGCAUGCGUAGGUCCAUAUGGUUCCAACCCUGUAGCAUCCCACCACCCUUUCAUACAUG
Molecule: long non-coding RNA, 1224 nt
Filed under: Sorghum bicolor (sorghum)
Lineage: Eukaryota; Viridiplantae; Streptophyta; Magnoliopsida; Poales; Poaceae
Description: long non-coding RNA (SBIC_LNC008849)
Source: RNAcentral